GCAUUUGGGUCUUGUAAGUGGUCAGUGGU
Molecule: non-coding RNA, 29 nt
Filed under: Homo sapiens (human)
Lineage: Eukaryota; Metazoa; Chordata; Mammalia; Primates; Hominidae
Source: RNAcentral